This 520-nucleotide small RNA is filed under the name Pan troglodytes (chimpanzee). RNAcentral describes it as "processed transcript". Lineage: Eukaryota; Metazoa; Chordata; Mammalia; Primates; Hominidae. The record is from RNAcentral.
UCAGGCACUCGGCUCCACCUCACUGAGUCUCUCAGGCAUGUGCAGGGUCCUAGGAAGCAUAUGAAGUGCAUCAGGGACCCCUCCUGCCCCCGUCCCCAAAGCAGCACUGCCCUCUGCUAGGAACAGCUCUGUGUUGGCCUCUCUGUCCCCACACACUGGGCCUGCAGGGCUUCUCCGAGACUCUUCAGUUCAGGGAUGGUCCUGGCUGUGCUGCUGCACCAGGGCUGCCUUCCCCGCCUUUUCCAGAGGAACCUGUUCUACAGCCAGAAGAACAAGUACCGAGCACCCCGAGGGAAGCCGGCCCCAGCCUCGGGGGACACCCAGACCCCUGCAAAGGGGUCCAGUGUCCGGGAGCCUGGGCGCAGCAGUGUUGAGGGGCCACAUUCCAGCUGAGUGGCCUUGCUCUGUGUGAGCCCCGUGUGAGGGCCCUGCUCGUAGCUGGACCCUGGAACCCUCUGGAGCUAAGAGGGAAUCCCGGCCCCCUCCCCAGAAGCCAUUUGUCAAUAAACCAUUUCUAAGA